Scomber scombrus (Atlantic mackerel) is the source of this 255-nucleotide long non-coding RNA. RefSeq lists it as uncharacterized. Lineage: Eukaryota; Metazoa; Chordata; Actinopteri; Scombriformes; Scombridae. The record is from RefSeq and is a predicted model, not a curated record. The transcript is spliced from 4 exons.
CAGAGAUGCUCCCUGCUGCUUCUAAAAAUCAAAAUGCUUCUUCAUCUGGAGAGCAACCUGAGAAAGAACACGACUAUGUCAAUGCCGCAGUAUGGACCAUGAACAAAAUAUCACCCACUUCAAAUAAGAAGUGUUGCUCCUUUAUUCAGCCUUUUCUACCAGUAGCAGUGAGUUGGGUAUUACUGUUGGUAAUCAUUGGCCUGCGUAUCCACUAUACCUCUGUCAUUUCUUCAAACAACGCCAAGCUGACUGUAG